RNAcentral lists this ribosomal RNA (581 nucleotides) under Brachycarpus biunguiculatus. RNAcentral describes it as "partial 16S ribosomal RNA". It matches the Rfam family "Bacterial large subunit ribosomal RNA", at positions 1795 to 2645 of the family's 2925-position model. Lineage: Eukaryota; Metazoa; Arthropoda; Malacostraca; Decapoda; Palaemonidae. The record is from RNAcentral.
UUCGCCUGUUUAUCAAAAACAUGUCUGUACGGGUUAAUAAUUGUAAAGUCUAGCCUGCCCACUGAGUAUUUAAAGGGCCGCGGUAACUUGACCGUGCGAAGGUAGCAUAAUCAGUAGUCCUUUAAUUGGGGGCUUGAAUGAAUGGCUGGUUGAGAGAGAGACUGUCUCCUUGUUAGCGAAAGAAUUUAACUUUUAAGUGAAAAGGCUUAAAUUGGUUGGGGGGACGAUAAGACCCUAUAAAACUUAAUAUCAGCUGCGUUUAGUUUACAGAAAAAGUGUAAAGAAGUUUCUCGUAGUUUAUAUUUCGUUGGGGAGAUGUAGAUAAAAUAAAUAACUGUCUUGAAAAUAUAAUAGUAAUAAUUAGUAUGUGAUCCUUUAAUAUGGAUUAAAAGAAUAAGUUACUUUAGGGAUAACAGCGUAAUUUUCUCUGAGAGUUCUUAUCGACGAGAGUAGUUGCGACCUCGAUGUUGAAUUAAAAUUUCAGCUGGGUGUAGCCGUUUAGCUGGUGGGUCUGUUCGACCUUUAAAAUUUUACAUGAUUUGAGUUCAAACCGGUGUGAGCCAGGUUGGGUUUCUAUCUAA